AAUCAAAUCACAUUUAUUUAUAUAGCCCUUCUUACAUCAGCUGAUAUCUCAAAGUGCUGUACAGAAACCCAGCCUAAAACCCCAAACAGCAAGCAAUGCAGGUGUAAAAGCACCUGAACGGAACCGCCAAGUACUGAAACUUGUAAAAAUUGUACUUAAAUAUCAGUUUUAUAUGAAAUGUCAUUUCCACCACUCUGUCAUUACCACAACACUAAGUCAUUACCAUCAAGGAACAUAUUUUUGAGAUAAAGGUGCAUUAAAUUACAAUUGAUAUUGAUGAUUUUUCCCAUAUGUGAACCUUUAUAUGCUUGUUCUCUAUUUUACAUUCCUUUAGAAAUUCUUAAGAUUUUGAUGUGGUAAAUACAUUUUUCUGAGUAUCAUCAAGGCAUAUUUAGACAUGACAAUGAUUAAUACAUAUGAUUAAGAAAACUUCCAAAUAGUAAAUAAAUAACAUGAAAAAAAUACAAUUCAUGUGAAAUAUUAUAUAAAAUACCAUAUGCACAAUUUCGGUAAUUUCCUUUUUAAACUAAAAUAGCACAUUUUAUGAUGUGGUGGUAAUGACAUUUCCCCUCGGCAAUUUGGUGAAAAGAUAAACAUCUUUAUAUUCUUAAAUAGUAUGGUCUCAGCCACUAUUAAAUCUUGUUUCCAGACAGUGAAGAAAAUAUUCAGAUAGAUAAAAAGCAGUUUCAAGAGGUUUCAUUUUCCAAAACAUUUAACAUCCUAAAGUUACCAUAUAUUCAACCACAAGGAGGUACUAAUGAGCUAUGCGACAUAUGUAUAUUUUUAAUCAUAAUAGAGGACUACUGAAAUUGUAUUAUUUCGGUGUUGAUAAGGGCAGGUUAAAAUAAAAACAUGACAGACAGAAAAGCCAGUGUAUCUAUCAAACUGAUUCGCAUAUGAAUGUAGUGGAAAUUAACUGACUUCGUGAUCUGUAAGGUAAGUAACUGUAAAGUGUCAAGCAGAUUACACGUUUUUGCCCCAUUUCCCGAAAGGUAGCAACAUUUAAGACAUGGAUUUCAUGUUGUAAUGUUAACAAGGUACCCAAAAGUAGUUUGAAUUAAUGUUGUUUUCAUUUUAUUAGCUAAACAAAACUUAUUUAAACAGCGAAAUUGUCGCAGAAAUCAGCCUUGUCUGCAUAACGAUGAUGAAAAGAACGUCAUUUAGGCUGUAAUGAUCUCCAAAAUUCAAAUGAUUAUGUCAUCACACCGUUGAUAUAGCAACGGACGCUAAUAGUUUAUCGAAUCCCAUUCUGACGCAGAGGAGGACAUUAUUUGGCCUGGGGACAUUAUUUGGCAUGACAGGCCCAAUGUGCCUCCUCUGGUUUCUCUCUCUCUGCAUUUGGAUUGCUGCUGUUGUAUCUGCCUGCUCAGCACUGUACAGAGCCAAUCUGUCAUGGUCACCCCUCUCACCCUCCCUCUCUCCUCUCUCUCUCAUUCCCAGUUGGAGUACUGUUCUAGUGCCCUCUCCUGGAUGACAGAGGCUCUCUUUCAGAGUAACUUGAUAAAGCCCACAUGUCCUCCACCCGCUCUGAAAUCUGACCCCUCUCUCUCCAACUAGCUGACCCAUGUCUGAUGGAGAACAGUGAAAUCUAGACACGCGCACACACACACACACACACAUUUUAGCAAUCCAUUGAUGUCGAUGAUGACGGAUGUUCCUCUUGUGGUUCGGGGAAAUGCCAAAGAUGGACUCGAUGCUCAUUCAGCCAUCCUUUCAAUGUUGUUUUUCAACUUUGAUUAUUUGAACUGCUGUCAUUUUGUAUGUGGACUAUUGUUGCUCUUCUAUGUUACACUUUGUUGUUCCUAUGUUGGUCUAGGAAUCUUGUUCCUGUGGGUUAUAGAAUGGAUGGGCAAUCUGUUCUUAAUGUAAUAUGUACAAACAUUUUUAAAGUUGCAAUUCAAAUUUCUCUACCUACAUAAUGACAUGACCAAGUACAAACACAUUCAACCUGACACAAUCACAAAAACAUAGAUUGAUUGUAUGUUGCUUUUUGGUUUUACACUUGAACAAAUGCUCCACUAAGCUACAUUCAAUCAGUUCUGCCUUAACCCAUGAUAACUGACAACAUUGUUUUAAUGAAGGCGAUGUCGGAGGUGUAACUGCAUUGGAGCUGUCAAAUCACCAAACGCCUCCCGGCAUUAUAGCUGUCACGGACAUUGCCAUUGGAUGUGCAGAGACACAGUAGUAAUAAUCGCAUGCAGCCUUGUUACGAGCCGUCAAAUCGGUGAGCAGCUGCUCUUGUGAUCGUUGUCAAAAAGCCACACCUGCCCAUCUCGCAUUAUAAGUUCAAAACAAGAAAGUGUAGAGUAUAUUGAAACAAUUACUCUCAAUUUGAAAAAUCAAUAAACUAAAUCAUGAGGAUUUAUAUCAUCCUAAUCGAGGUGUAGAUUACAUCUCAAAUUCCAGUGAUUGAACUUGUAAACAAGGCUGCAUGGGGAUUUCUCUUAACGUUCCACUCCAUGCAGCCAAUGGCAAUGUCUGCUAUAGGUACAAUUUGAUAUUGAGAUAAAAAUGGCUGCAUUGGACCUUUAAAUGUAGCUAUUUGGAGUCUUUGGACCCGUUUACUCCCUUUGUAUAGCAGAAUAUUUGCUUGCUAAAUAACCUUUUAAGUACCUCUGUAAAUUCGUACAUUUUUCAAUGGUGAAUUGCUGUACACAGUUUAAGCACAGGAAUUUCACCAGUAUAUGUGGUGAUAAAACACAUGAAAGUUCAGACUGUUACAACUGCUGCAACCGUUAGUGCUCUAUUUGGAAACUCGGAAGUGAUUUUCCGCUAGUGGUGUAAAGUACAUAAGUAAAAAUACUUGAAAGUACUACUUAAGUCGUUUUUGGGAUAUCUGUACUUUACUAUUUAUAUUUUUGGCAACUUUUACUUCACUACAUUCCUAAAGAAAAUUCUAUACUUUUUACUCAAUACGUUUUCCCUGACACCCAAAAGUACUCGUUACAUUGGUAAUACAUAGCAGGACAGGAAAAUUGUCAAAUUCACACACUUAUCAAGAGAACAUCCCUGGUCAUUCCUACUGCCUCUGUUCUGACGGACUCACUUAACACAUGCUUUUUUUGUAAAUUUUGUCUGAGUGUUGAAGUGUGCCCCUGGCUAUCUGUAAAUUAAAAUAAACAAGAAAAUGAUGC
Salmo salar (Atlantic salmon) is the source of this 3134-nucleotide long non-coding RNA. RefSeq lists it as uncharacterized. NCBI's taxonomy places the organism in Eukaryota, Metazoa, Chordata, Actinopteri, Salmoniformes, Salmonidae. The record is from RefSeq and is a predicted model, not a curated record.